Non-coding RNA from Chiloscyllium plagiosum (whitespotted bambooshark), 2728 nucleotides. Lineage: Eukaryota; Metazoa; Chordata; Chondrichthyes; Orectolobiformes; Hemiscylliidae. The record is from RefSeq and is a predicted model, not a curated record.
CUCAAAACCUGAAGCAAAGCAAUUUGGAUUUAUGGCAACGAAACAUUGUCCCUGAAAGAUAAGGAGAGCGUAAGUGAUCAAAGGUGUGAUGCCACAGGACUGGAGGACCAUCAAUGUUGGACUGUUGUUUAAAAAUGGAGGAGAGUACUGUAUAGCCCAAGUAAUUACAGGUUAAUCAAACUCACUGGGCAGAAUCUGCCCAGCCAUUGAAAGAUGGGGAGAGUGGCAGAAAAUGGUGAGAAUUGUGUGCGGUCAACGAUAAUGAGAUUCCUGACAUGUCAGCAAAAAGUCCCAUUUUCGAAGCAAGUGUUGAAGGACGAGACACCAUUCUCACCAGUGGUGAAUGAAUGUACACAAGCAAGUUACUUUAUCAGAAACUCACAGCAAAGUGCUUAUGUUGACAACAACUUUGAUCUAGCAAAGCAAAACUGGAUAUCAAGAACACAUCUAAGUAUCACUCAUUGAUAUUCACAGCAUUGCCAUCACUGAAUCCCCCACUGUCAAUAUCUUGGGAGUUACUAUUGAUCAAAAACUGAACAGGGCUUGAUGUAUAAAUACUGUGCCUACAAGAGCAGGUUAAGAGGCUAUGAACACUGCAAUGACUCCUCAAGAUAUGUCUAUCAUGUACAGUGCGUAAGCCAUGAGUUAUGGAAAAUUUGCUUGCCUGGAUGAUUGCAACUCUAAAAAAAGUUAAAGCUUGAUACCAUCAAGGAUAAAGUAGCCUGCUUGAUUGGCAACACAUCCACAAACAUUCACUGCCGCCAAACCCAAUGCUCAAUAGCCACUAUGUACAAGAUGCACUACAGAAUUUCACCAUAGCUCCUUUGACAGUACCUUCCAAACGCAUCACUACUUUCAUCUAGAAGAUCAAGGCAGCAGAUACAUGGGUACAACACCACCUGCAGUUUCUUCUACUUGCUACUUACCAUCCAGAUUUGGAAAUGUACCAUCGUUUCUUCACUGUCACUGGGUCAAAAUUGUGGACUACUCUCUGCCUAAUGGCAUUAUGGGCCUACCCACACUAAAUGGACCACAGUUCUUCAAGAAGACAGCCAACUGCUACCAUCUUGAAGCAACUAGAAAUGGGAAAUAAUCUGUGGGUCAGCUUUUAAUUUAAAGCAAACUGGAAUUGUGAACUUCUGAGUUUGUUUAACAAAGGAAAAAAACACGAGUGAUUCAGAAUUUGGUUUUAUUUAUUCCAUAAUGCUGGCAAUUAUGAUUCUAAUGUGCAUAAUACAAAACGUUGGCUGUAAUGUGGUAAUGGUCACAAUGUUGACCUGAAGGUCAUCUCAGUUGGAAUAGUGCACUUAGAAGAGGAAAUAGGAGACAAUGGCCAAAAUACAAGACCAAAGGGUUCUUGGAAAAUCCGGCAAUCUGAAUAUAAACUAUUUCUACCACUUCAGCAGUCAGGAGAUCAAUGGCAGUCCAUUGUUGCUUGUCCUAUUUUCUAUUAUACCUAACCACAAUUGAGACCAUUCUAAAUUAAAUUAUUGUAGAUGUUGGAAAUCUGAGACAAACCAAAGAUAUUAAACACUCAUGUGGGCAGCAACAGGACAGAGAGAAAUAAAGUUAACAUGUCCAAUUUUGUGCUGUGAAAGUGUCUGGGCUUUGAAUCAUUUGAAAUCUUCCUCCAAGGUUCACUGUGAUGAUCUAUUAACAGAAUCCAAUCAAACUGGAAAUUAUCUGUAUUGCCUGAAUAGAUUUACUUCUGGCCCCUUGUAUGUUCCCAGCCAUCAUUGCUCCACCGUAUGUUCAGUUACCUCAAUGUUAAACUUUGAAAUUCUGGCAUGACACCUCUCUUUACCAAUGUCUCUAUUUAAAGAUACUCUCGAGUGCUUAUUCUGCUCAAGGCUGUCAUUACCCUCAUAUAUUUUUUGUGGUAGGGAGUUAUACUUUGUUUUAUUUCACUUCGAGAAGCAUCUUAGUCCACUUCAUUAUAUCUAUACAUCAUCUUUAAUGUUAUUUAUUGUUUGGUCAGUCCUGUGUGAUUACAACACGAACACUACAAAUUUACCUAAUACAGUUACAUUUGGAUAACAACAUCAUCUAAACAAUGGGCGACUGCUCCUCAGCUAAACUGACUCUAGCUGGUUUUGUGCAUUUUCUUCGCUCACAAUAAGAUGACAACAAUAACUUACAUUUAUCUGUUGUCUUAAACCUAGUUGAACUUGUCAAGGUACUUCAUGAUGUGUAUGGGUUGGGGUGUGAUCUGGAGCAAGGUAUCUGGGUGUGAUACCUUGGGAGAGAGCCAUCUGUGAAACCAUAUACCAGUGAGGAGUUUGGUAUUUCCAGGAGAAACAAUGGCUUAGAAAGACAAUUGCAUAAAGAAUUAAAGAAUGCUGCUCUUCCACAACACUUAAAAAUAACAAAAAUAUUCCCUUUAAAAAUAGUGGACCUCUUAAAUGUAAGUAAUAAAAUCCAUUUGAGCAUGCUGUUAUACUAUAUCAUCCUGUAUUACUGUUGUUAUGAAUUUCAAAUGGCCACAAAACCUGGCUUAUACUUACUUACUUUCGCUUUGUUUUGAUGACCAUCUCAUUUGACAAACUACCAACAAUUAAUGAAACAAACUUUGCUUCAGAUUUAUUUCUAUCUUGGUAUUUUUUGCUUUUAAAUCUUUUGCCCCUCCCUGCCUACUUAUAUUCAUUCCUCUGUUUUUAAUUCCUUUGCUGUUGCGACAAAUAGCACACCACUAUGACACUUCAAUUAAAGCUUCAUUAAACAGAUCAAA